CGUCUUCACUGGGGACGUAACAGGAUGGGGUGACAGGUUAGGUUAGGGUGGCAAGGAUGGGGUGACAGGUUAGGUUAGGGUGGCAAGGAUGGGGUGACAGGUUAGGUUAGGGUGGCAAGGAUGGGGUGACAGGUUAGGUUAGGGUGAUUUGAAUAGGGUGACAGGUUAGGUUAGGGUGGGUAGGAUGAGGUGACAGGCUAGGUUAGGGUAGAGUGACUUGAAUAGGGUGACAGGUUAGGUUAUGGUGACCAGGAAAGGGUCAUAGGUUAGGUUAGGGUGAUUUGAAUAGGGUGACAGGUUAGGUUAGGGUAGAGUGACUUGAACAGGGUGACAGGUUAGGUUAGUGACUUGGGAAGGGUGACAGGUUAGGUUAGGGUGACCAGGAAAGGGUGACAGGUUAGGUUAGGGUGGGUAGGAUGAGGUGACAGGCUAGGUUAGGUUAGAGUGACUUGGGAAGGGUGACAGGUUAGGUUAGGGUGACCAGGAAAGGGUGACAGGUUAGGUUAGGGUGAUUUGGAUGAGGUGACAGGUUAGGUUAGAGUGAACAGGAUGGGGUGACAGGUUAGGUUAGGGUAGAGUGACUUGAAUAGGGUGACAGGUUAGGUUAGGUCAGAGUGACUUGGGAAGGGUGACAGGUUAGGUUAGGGUGAUUUGAAUAGGGUGACAGGUUAGGUCAGAGUGACUUGGGAAGGGUGACAGGUUAGGUUAGGGUGGGUAGGAUGAGGUGACAGGCUAGGUUAGGUUAGAGUGACUUGGGAAGGGUGACAGGUUAGGUUAGGGUGACCAGGAAAGGGUGACAGGUUAGGUUAGGGUGGGUAGGAUGAGGUGACAGGCUAGGUUAGGUUAGAGUGACUUGGGAAGGGCGACAGGUUAGGUUAGGGUGACCAGGAAAGGGCGACAGGUUAUGUUAGGGUGAUUUGAAUAGGGUGACAGGUUAGGUUAGGAUAAAGAGUCAAAACAUGCAUCUUAACACUACACACAUACAUAUAAAUACAUCCGUAAAGACCCAUUUCCUUAAGGCUGAGUGGUUGGUGCUUGUAAUGUGGAUAUCUUGAGGAGCUAGGUCUGUUCAAUGCUGCCAGAUGGUCGUGUUCAGGAUCAUAUUGUUGCUUAUUCACACCCCAAACCUGUCUCUUCCACCCCUGUAACUGGUUUGAUAUAGAGUUAUCAUUAACCUGUCCGCUGCGAUUGGCACGGAUUUCGCCUUCACUGGUAGCCUGGUGACAUGCUCCCAGGUCUUUCUGUGCCUCUGUGGUGGAUAGUGGAGUGUUUCCCAUGUGGUAUUGGUGUGCUGGAUAUCCCUUCACUGGUAGCCUGGUAACAUACACUCCCAGGUCUUUCUCUGCCUCUGUGGUGGAUAGUGGAGUGUUUCCCAUGUGGUAUUGGUGUGCUGGAUAUCCCUUCACUGGUAGCCUGGUUACAUACACUCCCAGGUCUUUCUCUGCCUCUGUGGUGGAUAGUGGAGUGUUUCCCAUGUGGUAUUGGUGUGCUGGAUAUCCCUUCACUGGUAGCCUGGUCACAUACACUCCCAGGUCUUUCUCUGCCUCUGUGGUGGAUAGUGGAGUGUUUCCCAUGUGGUAUUGGUGUGCUGGAUAUCCCUUCACUGGUAGCCUGGUAACAUACACUCCCAGGUCUUUCUCUGCCUCUGUGGUGGAUAGUGGAGUGUUUCCCAUGUGGUAUUGGUGUGCUGGAUAUCCCUUCACUGGCAGCCUGGUAACAUACACUCCCAGGUCUUUCUCUGCCUCUGUGGUGGAUAGUGGAGUGUUUCCUAUGUGGUAUUGGUGUGCUGGAUAUCCCUUCACUGGUAGCCUGGUAACAUACACUCCCAGGUCUUUCUCUGCCUCUGUGGUGGAUAGUGGAGUGUUUCCCAUGUGGUAUUGGUGUGCUGGAUAUCCCCUCCCAAGAUGCAUGACCUCACAGUUUUCUUCACUAAAUUGUAGCAGCCACUUUUUGUUCCAUUCCUGUAGCUUGGUGAGGUCUUCUUGUAGGAAAUCCGCAUCCAUGGGGUUAAAAUCGUCAAUCAUAGGUGUUUCUUGGCAAUGGCUCAGAAACCAGUAAAAACGAUGCUCUGAGUACGACAAUGUGACACCGUUGGGUCUGUUGUGAGUGCCUUAGUCCUUCCCUUGUUUUCCUUCCUCCUUCCUUGACCUUUCUCUUUUUCUCUUCCUGCUCCUUUAACCUUUUCCUUACUCCACUGCCUUUCUUACUUCCUUGUUCUGCUUUCUUAACCUGUCCCUUACUCCAUAAUCCUGCUGCCUGCUCCCUUAACUCUUCCCUACUGCUACCACUACCACUACUACUACUACUACUACUAUUACUACUCUAUUUCUCCUCUUUUUUUCAUUCCUGUUUUCCUUGGUAGGGUCUUUUCAUGAUCAUUCUUCUUGUAACUAAUUCUGAAACUUCUCUUUUAUCUCUCCGCUCUUUUUCUGCUGCCUGCUCCCUUAACGCCUCCCUUUUUCUGCUGCCUGCUCCUUUAACUCCUCCCUUUUUCUGCUUCCUGCUCCUUCAAUCACUUAUUUUUCUCCUCCCUUAACCCUCCCCUAACUCCUGCAUUCUCCUCCCUUAACCUCUCCUCUACUCCCCUAUUCUGCACCCUCA
Eriocheir sinensis (Chinese mitten crab) is the source of this 2601-nucleotide long non-coding RNA. RefSeq lists it as uncharacterized. The record is from RefSeq and is a predicted model, not a curated record. Lineage: Eukaryota; Metazoa; Arthropoda; Malacostraca; Decapoda; Varunidae. The transcript is spliced from 4 exons.